UAACUUCGGGAAACCGGAGCUAAUACCGGAUAAUAUAUUGAACCGCAUGGUUCAAUAGUGAAAGACGGUUUUGCUGUCACUUAUAGAUGGAUCCGCGCCGCAUUAGCUAGUUGGUAAGGUAACGGCUUACCAAGGCAACGAUGCGUAGCCGACCUGAGAGGGUGAUCGGCCACACUGGAACUGAGACACGGUCCAGACUCCUACGGGAGGCAGCAGGC
RNAcentral lists this ribosomal RNA (218 nucleotides) under uncultured Staphylococcus sp. RNAcentral describes it as "partial 16S ribosomal RNA". It matches the Rfam family "Bacterial small subunit ribosomal RNA", at positions 144 to 354 of the family's 1533-position model. The record is from RNAcentral. Lineage: Bacteria; Bacillati; Bacillota; Bacilli; Caryophanales; Staphylococcaceae.